CCUACGGGAGGCAGCAGUGGGGAAUAUUGCACAAUGGGCGCAAGCCUGAUCCAGCCAUGCCGCGCGAGUGAAGAAGGCCUUAGGGCUGUAAAGUUCUUUCACCGGUGAAGAUAAUGACGGUAACCGGAGAAGAAGCCCCGGCUAACUUCGUGCCAGCAGCCGCGGUAAUACGAAGGGGGCUAGCGUUGUUCGGAAUUACUGGGCGUAAAGCGCGCGUAGGUGGAUAGAUAAGUCAGAGGUGAAAUCCCGGGGCUCAACCCCGGAAUUGCCUUUGAUACUGUUUAUCUUGAGUGCAGAAGAGGUAAGUGGAAUUCCGAGUGUAGAGGUGAAAUUCGUAGAUAUUCGGAGGAACACCAGUGGCGAAGGCGGCUUACUGGUCUGCAACUGACGCUGUGGCGCGAAAGCGUGGGGAGCAAACAGGAUUAGAUACCCGCGUAGUC
This 440-nucleotide ribosomal RNA is filed under the name uncultured bacterium. Its description in RNAcentral is "bacterial SSU rRNA". It matches the Rfam family "Bacterial small subunit ribosomal RNA", at positions 338 to 795 of the family's 1533-position model. The record is from RNAcentral.